UUAAAUAGGAGAAAGUAAUGGUUUAGGAUCUAUUAGAGGAAAUUAGAGGUUUUUGAGGGGAUUUAGUAAUGAAAUUUAGUGAUAAUCAAUAGAAUUGUAAUUAUAAAUAUUAGAUUUUUAGUAAGAGAGUAUUUAAGGAUAAAAUUAGAUGGUCUAAGAACUAAAUUUAGAAAUUUAAUAUAUAACUAAGAUUUUAGAGA
This 200-nucleotide long non-coding RNA is filed under the name Physcomitrium patens. Its description in RNAcentral is "long non-coding RNA (PPAT_LNC000937)". Lineage: Eukaryota; Viridiplantae; Streptophyta; Bryopsida; Funariales; Funariaceae. The record is from RNAcentral.